AAUCGUGCGCAAUGGGCUAAAGCCUGACGCAGCCAUGCCGCGUGAAUUAUGAAGUUCUUAGGAUUGUAAAAUUCUUUCACCGGGGACGAUAAUGACGGUACUCGGAGAAGAAGCCCCGGCUAACUUCGUGCCAGCAGCCGCGGUAAUACGAACGGGGCUAGCGUUGCUCGGAAUUACUGGGCGUAAAGGGCGCGUAGGCGGAUCGUUAAGUCAGGGGUGAAAUCCCGGGGCUCAACCUUGGAACUGCCCUUGAUACUGGCGAUCUUGAGUAUGAGAGAGGUAUGUGGAACUCCGAGUGUAGAGGUGAAAUUCGUAGAUAUUCGGAAGAACACCAGUGGCGAAGGCGACAUACUGGCUCAUUACUGACGCUGAGGCGCGAAAGCGUGGGGAGCAAACA
RNAcentral lists this ribosomal RNA (397 nucleotides) under uncultured bacterium. RNAcentral describes it as "partial 16S ribosomal RNA". It matches the Rfam family "Bacterial small subunit ribosomal RNA", at positions 360 to 774 of the family's 1533-position model. The record is from RNAcentral.